ACAUGGCUGGCUCUUGAGAAUUCGGAUUGAGAGUGGAGAGAGAAAAGCGUGAAGGAGGAGAGAUCUCUUUGAUGCGCAGAGUUCACUCUAUAGAAACCCAUUUUAAAGUUAGAAACGACCUUCUACUGUCUUCUGUUUGGGUACACUUCUUCUCUUCCUCCAUUUCCCCUUGCCCUCUCUCUCUCUCUCUCUCUCUCUCUCUCUCUCAUGGUUGCUUUUCUGUGUAUUCUCCUUUGGAACCUUCCCUCGGCAGUGUAGGGCGGUGUCGUCUGUCUGACCUUGGGCGGUUCUUUAUCUUGAUCUGAUGUGCCAUUGAUUUCUUGCCCGCGCUUUGGUCGAGUCCCACGAUCAUAGACACUCUAGGGUUUUUCAGUUUUUUUUUUCUUCAGUCUGGAUUUGGGUUCUACAUUCACAGUUUGAAGUUGGGUAUGGUGGGGAAGGAGGACACCUCCGCUGGUUCUUGGGGACCGUGCCAGACUUCUGGACCUUCUCGAAAAACUUUCUGGCGGUCGGCGUCGUGGUCUUCUUCCCGUUCAGCUUCUAACAACAAUCCAGAUAGUGAAGAGAAGGAAUGUGUUGACCCAAACGGUAAUGUUGGGAGUAAUAGCGGCCACAAUCGUAAGUUUCCUGCUCCGCUAACCCCUAGAUCUCAGCAGAAUUGGAAAGCUCGGGCGUGUUUGCCACCGUUACAACCAUUGUCCAUUGCACGCCGGAGUUUAGACGAGUGGCCAAAGGCUGGGUCCGAUGAUAUUGGGGAGUGGCCGCAGCCUCCAACCCCAAGUGGGAGGGGAGAGCUGGGCAAGACCGGGGAGAGGUUGAAGCUUGAUUUGUCUGUAAUUGAUAAAACCCCAUGUAAAAGUGGCAGGCUUGUGAAGAGGGAAAGGAUUGCUUUUUUUGACAAAGAAUGCUCUAAGGUGGCAGAACAUAUCUAUCUUGGUGGAGAUGCGGUCGCUCGGGACAGGGAUAUUCUUACACAGAAUAAAAUAACUCAUAUUCUGAAUUGCGUGGGAUUCGUGUGUCCAGAAUACUUCAAAGCUGAUUUUGUAUACAGAACUUUGUGGUUGCAGGAUAAUCCUUCGGAGGACAUUACUAGCAUACUCUAUGAUGUCUUCGACUACUUUGAAGAUGUCAGGGAGCAAGGAGGGAGGGUUUUUGUUCAUUGUUGCCAAGGGGUCUCCCGGUCUACAUCUUUGGUUAUUGCAUAUCUUAUGUGGAGAGAAGGGCAGAGUUUUGAUGAUGCAUUCCAGUAUGUCAAGGCAGCUAGAGGGAUUGCUGACCCAAAUAUGGGUUUUGCUUGCCAGUUGUUACAGUGUCAAAAAAGGGUCCAUGCCUUCCCUCUUAGUCCCAGUUCUUUACUUAGGAUGUAUAGAAUUGCUCCACAUUCUCCAUAUGAUCCUUUACAUCUUGUCCCCAAAACGUUAAAUGAUCCUUCCCCAUCUGCCCUGGAUUCUAGAGGUGCAUUUAUAAUACACGUACCUUCAGCAAUAUAUAUUUGGAUUGGUAAGAAUUGUGAAGCCAUCAUGGAAAGGGAUGCAAGAGGGGCUGUUUGUCAGAUUGUUCGGUAUGAGAAAGUGCAGGGACCGAUAAUAAUGAUAAAGGAAGGGGAAGAACCAGCAUACUUUUGGGAUGCUUUUUCUAACCUCUUACCGUUGAUGGACAAAUCUUUUAAUGGAGUGGAUAUUAGUGAAUCAUCUGUCCAGAUUUGUCCGGGUGAAAGAAAAGUGGAUUUGUAUAAUGUUGAUUUUGAAAUUUUCCAGAAAGCCAUUAUAGCUGGUUUUCUGCCUCCAUUUGCAUCAUCAGAGACUGAACUUGAAACCCAACUUCCUGUAAGAAAAAGCAGUUGGAGUGUACUAAGGCGUAAGUUUGCCCCUGGCAGUAUGAAGGAGUUCGUGUCAGCUCCCAAGUUGUCCUUCUCAAGAGUAUAUUCAGAUUCUAUGUCGAUGCUUAGUGUAGACAAUAAUUUUCUGGUCAAACAAUCACAUUCUCCUGUAAAUGCAUCAACAUCAUCCUCACCACCAUCAUCAUCUUCAGUGUCAUCUUCAUCUUCGUUAUCUUCAUCACCUUUUUUCCUCUCACCUGAUUCCAUAACUUCGGACUCAAGCAAUAGUUCAAAGUAUUUUUCAGAAUCUCCUGUAUUGUCUCCCUCAAAAGUGCCUGUGUCUCUUCCAUUACCUUCAACUUUGUCUUCUUUUUCUAGCUUGUCCAUCUCACCUAGAACAACACCUCAAAACUUGUCUAACAGUGCAGACUUUAUAGAAGUGAAUUUUACUUCUCUGCCUCGUGCUAAAUCAGUCUCCCUGCCAUCUAAGAAAUUUUCACAAUCCCUUGCAGAGCGCAGGGGUAGCUUGUCAAAGACUCUGAAGCUGCCAAUGCUUAGUAAUAGUACAAGGGCGAAAAGUGUGGAAAAUGUGUUAGAUUCUAAAGAUUGUUCUAGAAACAGAGAGAGGGACUCAAAUCAAGAUUUCAAGUCAAUCCUUUCUUGUGGUAAAGCACCUGGUGUUGAUUCAUGUCAUGAGGAGCCGGCUUUUGUCAAAGCUUCUGAUGAAUUGUCAGGAAAUUAUUGUUCGGGAGGCACAAGGUCAAGUGCCAUGAAUGGGAUACUGGAGAACAGUUCAGUAUAUUCUAAUUGGUUGCAACCCUGGGUAUUUCAGUGGCCCAGUUUAGAGAAGAUUGAAACAUUUGGUUCAGGUUGUCUGGAUUCCAAUGCUGCAUUUAUUUUCAUUUGUCCAAGUACAGAUUUAGGCAAACAGGUGGAAAGAAGGAUUCUAUAUUUUUGGUUAGGAAGGUCUUUCAGUUACAACAAAGGGCAGAAUGGAUUCGAUAGCAACAGAGAAUUAGAUGAUAUAGGGAAUAUUGACUGGAAUCAAGUUAUUCCUGAUAUCUUUACCCAAAUGGAUCUGCCAGAGGAAACUAUCAUCGAGGUUGUUAAAGAGGAUGAAGAACCAGAAGAAUUUCUUGCAUUAUUAAGUUCUUUGUAGCACCUUCACAAUUGAAGAGAGAUUUACCGACUCCAAUAGCUCAAUCACCUUCCUAUGUCUUCAGCUUGCAUAAUUUGCAGUGGAACUUUCUGGGCAUUUCAAGGAACAGCUGUGACAAAACAAGCAAGGAGGCUGCUUUGCAAGUGUAAGGUCGUUUCAGCAUUGCACCUGGUUGUACAGUGAUCGUAACUCAACCCUAAUUUGUCCUGCUGACUGAUUUUUCUUGUAUAUUCAUUGCUACUAAACUGCAGAAACAGAUUUUAGGCCCCCUUCCAGGCCAAGUAGAAAUGGUUAGAAUUUCCCCUCGUGCUAAUUAA
This is an RNA transcript of Malania oleifera, 3295 nucleotides long. It is a transcript of the gene named protein-tyrosine-phosphatase MKP1, with no coding region annotated. The transcript is spliced from 4 exons. The record is from RefSeq and is a predicted model, not a curated record. NCBI's taxonomy places the organism in Eukaryota, Viridiplantae, Streptophyta, Magnoliopsida, Santalales, Ximeniaceae.